UACGUAGGCAGCGAGCGUUGUUCGGAAUUACUGGGCGUAAAGGGCGCGUAGGCGGCCCUCUAAGUCAGACGUGAAAUCCCUCGGCUCAACCGGGGAACUGCGUCUGAGACUGGAAGGCUUGAAUUCGGGAGAGGGAUGUGGAAUUCCAGGUGUAGCGGUGAAAUGCGUAGAUAUCUGGAGGAACACCGGUGGCGAAGGCGGCAUCCUGGACCGAGAUUGACGCUGAUGCGCGAAAGCCAGGGGAGCAAACGGG
RNAcentral lists this ribosomal RNA (253 nucleotides) under uncultured bacterium. Its description in RNAcentral is "partial 16S ribosomal RNA". It matches the Rfam family "Bacterial small subunit ribosomal RNA", at positions 524 to 776 of the family's 1533-position model. The record is from RNAcentral.